CAUGCAAGUCGAACGGCAGCACAGAAAGAACCUUGCUCCUUUGGGUGGCGAGUGGCGGACGGGUGAGUAAUGUCUGGGAAACUGCCCGAUGGAGGGGGAUAACUACUGGAAACGGUAGCUAAUACCGCAUAACGUCGCAAGACCAAAGUGGGGGACCUUCGGGCCUCACACCAUCGGAUGUGCCCAGAUGGGAUUAGCUAGUAGGUGGGGUAAUGGCUCACCUAGGCGACGAUCCCUAGCUGGUCUGAGAGGAUGACCAGCCACACUGGAACUGAGACACGGUCCAGACUCCUACGGGAGGCAGUAGUGGGGAAUAUUGCACAAUGGGCGCAAGCCUGAUGCAGCCAUGCCGCGUGUAUGAAGAAGGCCUUCGGGUUGUAAAGUACUUUCAGC
RNAcentral lists this ribosomal RNA (393 nucleotides) under uncultured bacterium. RNAcentral describes it as "bacterial SSU rRNA". It matches the Rfam family "Bacterial small subunit ribosomal RNA", at positions 54 to 440 of the family's 1533-position model. The record is from RNAcentral.